Molecule: ribosomal RNA, 272 nt
Filed under: uncultured Staphylococcus sp.
Lineage: Bacteria; Bacillati; Bacillota; Bacilli; Caryophanales; Staphylococcaceae
Description: partial 16S ribosomal RNA
Rfam family: Bacterial small subunit ribosomal RNA
Source: RNAcentral
ACGUUAGCGGCGGACGGGUGAGUAACACGUGGGUAACCUACCUAUAAGACUGGGAUAACUCCGGGAAACCGGGGCUAAUACCGGAUAACACAUGAAACCGCAUGGUUUCAUGAUGAAAGACGGUUUUGCUGUCACUUAUAGAUGGACCCGCGGCGUAUUAGCUAGUUGGUAAGGUAACGGCUUACCAAGGCAACGAUACGUAGCCGACCUGAGAGGGUGAUCGGCCACACUGGAACUGAGACACGGUCCAGACUCCUACGGGAGGCAGCAGC